Molecule: long non-coding RNA, 240 nt
Organism: Arabidopsis thaliana (thale cress)
Lineage: Eukaryota; Viridiplantae; Streptophyta; Magnoliopsida; Brassicales; Brassicaceae
Product: other RNA
Exons: 1
Source: RefSeq
AUCAAUAUCCUUUAUAGCAUCCUGCAACACACGGCAAGUAAAAGAUAUACAUGAGACAGAUUCAUUUCACUUUACAUCUUUUAAGUUUCAACCAAAUGUGGGACUUUUCUGAGCUUAUAUGCUACGAAGCUUUGAACCAGUUGGUUUGAUAUCAGAAGUGGGAGGCAAAUAUAACGCAGAACAGAGAAAGAAAAGAAGUAAACAAGUAUGAGUUUACCUUUGCAAGGCUUGUCACAUAUG